Molecule: ribosomal RNA, 378 nt
Filed under: Saccharomyces cerevisiae BY4741
Lineage: Eukaryota; Fungi; Ascomycota; Saccharomycetes; Saccharomycetales; Saccharomycetaceae
Description: 25S ribosomal RNA from Saccharomyces cerevisiae BY4741 (PDB 7NAF, chain 1)
Rfam family: Eukaryotic large subunit ribosomal RNA
Source: RNAcentral
AUAGGGUGAAGCCAGAGGAAACUCUGGUGGAGGCUCGAAAAUGGAAUUAGACUGAAGGUCGGCGCCCUGGAGUUAUCUUUUCUUGUUUAUCCCGCUUCGGCCCCAAGGUGAACAGCCUCUAAUGUAGAUAAGGGAAGUCGGGGGAAUCUGACUGUUAACGAGAUUCCCACUGUCCCUAUCUACUCGGGGAACUGGCUUGUCGGCUCUUCCUAUCAUACCAUUCGGUAAGCGUUGGAUUGUUCACCCACUAAUAGGGAACGUGAGCUGAAUUGAACUUAGGAACAGUUCAUUCGGAUAAUUGGUUUUUGCGGCUGUCUGAUCAGGCAUUGCCGCGAAGCUACCAUCCGAAUCUAUAUAUUGUAAGCUGAGAUUAAGCCU